Pteropus alecto (black flying fox) is the source of this 710-nucleotide long non-coding RNA. RefSeq lists it as uncharacterized. The transcript is spliced from 3 exons. The record is from RefSeq and is a predicted model, not a curated record. Lineage: Eukaryota; Metazoa; Chordata; Mammalia; Chiroptera; Pteropodidae.
CUUAGUACUAAUCUUUUCUUACCAGUUUUUUCUUGAGUACCUGCUGCAUGCCACAGCCUGGUUAGGUGUCACUGGUUGUUUAGGGUGCCAUGGAAGAAGUCUUUACCUUCCAGGAACUCAUAAUCAACUCACCCCUACAGCCUGUGUCUCUCCCUUCCCCCAUAAGAUUCCCAACUACACCACCUGCCAGACUGGGUUGGGGGUGGGAUGGUACUGAGGAGGAUUUCAUGGUCCUAGAGAUCAGCUCUCCCACAGCUGCCCUUAAAUCAUAGCUAACACUUCUAUAAAGCUUGCCAUGUGCCAGGCUUCAGGUACUGCUGUUUUGGAGCUGGCGGUGAAGGUGACUGAAGAAGGUGCAAGGUUCCUGUGUGAUGAAGUGAUGAAGCAUUCCUAUGCAUUCCUGUCUGGUCCCUGACAGCUGCUCUCAUUGAGCUUCAAAACAUAUUACGAUUUUUGGAGAACUAGAGAGAUGGCUGCUUGAAGACUCUACCAUUGCUGUCUUUGAAGAUGGUGGAAGGGGCCAUGAGCCAAGGAAUGCAGAUGGUCUCUAGAAGCUAGAAAAUGGAUUCUUUCUUAAAGCUUCCAGAGAGAAACUCAAAACUGCCAACACCUUCAUUUUAGCUCAGUGGGAUCCAUGUCUGGCUUCUGACUUACAGAACUGAAAGAUAAUAAAUUUCUAUUGUUUUAAAUUACAAAAAAAAAAAAGACAU